CCUACGGGUGGCAGCAGUGAGGAAUAUUGGUCAAUGGACGGAAGUCUGAACCAGCCAUGCCGCGUGCAGGAAGACGGCUCUAUGAGUUGUAAACUGCUUUUGUACAAGGGUAAACCUGAAUACGUGUAUUCAGCUGAAAGUACUGUACGAAUAAGGAUCGGCUAACUCCGUACCAGCAGCCGCGGUAAUACGGGGGAUGCGAGCGUUAUCCGGAUUUAUUGGGUUUAAAGGGUGCGCGGGGGGAGGCAAAAGUCAGCGGUAAAAUCGCGGGGCUAAACCCCGCUCCGCCGUUGAAACUGUGUCCCUUGAGUGAGCGAAGGGUAGGCGGAAUGCGGGGUGUAGCGGUGAAAUGCAUAGAUAUCACGCAGAACUCCGAUCGCGAAGGCAGCCUACCGGCGCGCAACUGACGCUCAGGCACGAAAGCGUGGGUAUCGAACAGGAUUAGAUACCCUAGUAGUC
This 459-nucleotide ribosomal RNA is filed under the name uncultured bacterium. RNAcentral describes it as "partial 16S ribosomal RNA". It matches the Rfam family "Bacterial small subunit ribosomal RNA", at positions 338 to 795 of the family's 1533-position model. The record is from RNAcentral.